UGAGACUAGUGGUGUCUGGGCUCAGACAGGGUGUGUGCAGGUACAGUGGGCACACUGUCCAGGUGAGACUAGUGGUGUCUGGGCUCAGACAGGGUGUGUGCAGGUACAGUGGGCACACUGUCCAGGUGAGAUUAGUGGUGUCUGGGCUCAGACAGGGUGUGUGCAGGUACAGUGGG
Molecule: long non-coding RNA, 176 nt
Organism: Erinaceus europaeus (western European hedgehog)
Lineage: Eukaryota; Metazoa; Chordata; Mammalia; Eulipotyphla; Erinaceidae
Exons: 3
Source: RefSeq, a predicted model, not a curated record